GUUUUCGUAGUGUAGUGGUUAUCACGUUCGCCUCACACGCGAAAGGACCCCGGUUCGAACCCGGGCGAAAACA
RNAcentral lists this transfer RNA (73 nucleotides) under Saccoglossus kowalevskii. RNAcentral describes it as "tRNA-Val". It matches the Rfam family "tRNA". From Rfam's summary of the family: Transfer RNA (tRNA) molecules are approximately 80 nucleotides in length. Lineage: Eukaryota; Metazoa; Hemichordata; Enteropneusta; Harrimaniidae. The record is from RNAcentral.